Non-coding RNA from Acanthosepion pharaonis, 101 nucleotides. The record is from the annotation of a GenBank genome assembly. Lineage: Eukaryota; Metazoa; Mollusca; Cephalopoda; Sepiida; Sepiidae.
ACGUUGAAAUACCAGUUCCCGAGCGAUCACCGAAGUUAAGCAACAUUGAUCCUGGUCAGUACUUAGAUGGAUGAGCGCUUGGGAAUACAAAAUGUUGUAAU